GCUGGGCAUGGUGGCAUGUGCCUGUAAUCCCAGCUACUUAGGAGGCUGAGGCAGGAGGAUCAAGGUCAGCCUGAGAAAGUUAGUGAGAAUCCUGUAUCAA
Molecule: small RNA, 100 nt
Filed under: Marmota monax (woodchuck)
Lineage: Eukaryota; Metazoa; Chordata; Mammalia; Rodentia; Sciuridae
Source: RNAcentral